AAUUGGAGGGCAAGUCUGGUGCCAGCAGCCGCGGUAAUUCCAGCUCCAAUAGCGUAUAUUAAAGUUGUUGCAGUUAAAAAGCUCGUAGUUGAAUUUCGGGAUCAAUAUUUCGGUCAUGCCGUUGGUAUGCACUGUUAUCAUUGAUUUCUCACCUUCUAAAGAACCGUAAUGCCAUUAAUUUGGUGUUACGGGGAAUUAGGACUGUUACCUUGAAAAAAUUAGAGUGUUUAAAGCAGGCUCACGCUUGAAUACAUUAGCAUGGAAUAAUGAAAUAGGACAUCCGAUUCUAUUUUGUUGGUUUCUAGGAUCGAUGUAAUGACUAAUAGGGAUAGUUGGGGGCAUUAGUAUUCAAUUGUCAGAGGUGAAAUUCUUGGAUUUAUUGAAGACUAACUACUGCGAAAGCAUUUGCCAAGGAUGUUUUCAUUAAUCAAGAACGAAAGUUAGGGGAUCGAAGACGAUCAGAUACCGUCGUAGUCUUAACCAUAAACUAUGCCGACUAGGGAUCGGAUGAUGUUAAUUUUUUAAUGACUCAUUCGGCGCCUUACGGGAAACCAAAGUGU
Molecule: ribosomal RNA, 560 nt
Filed under: uncultured Glomus
Lineage: Eukaryota; Fungi; Glomeromycota; Glomeromycetes; Glomerales; Glomeraceae
Description: SSU rRNA
Rfam family: Eukaryotic small subunit ribosomal RNA
Source: RNAcentral